AUGCGUGUGCGUGCAAGCACGCCGCAGGCAACCCGGGCAUCAGCCCUGGCUGCAGAUAGCACACGUAAAUCACCAGCGGUGUUGCACAACCGCUGCGUUAUACCCGUGCAAAUCAGUCGGUCGGCUCACUUGCGCGAGCGCUCGCUCCUGUGCCUCUGCCCCGCAGAUCGGACCCAGGCGCCCUGUUCAUGGUUGCAGCCACCCAGCACCUCUGUGAGCAGCACGGCCCAGCAUCCCUGGCACUGGUGGGGACGCGGGGUGGUGACGGGAGCCGUGCCCUGCCUGCUACCCUCCUGUGAGCGUGUGGCAGGGCUCGCCGGAGCACAGCCGCCUCUCCGUGAGGCAGCACCUGGAGACGCCUGCUCUCACCUGCGGUCCAGAUGUACCCGAGGUGCCCAGCCUCCAGUGUGCUGGUGGCCCCUGCCUCUCCCCAGGAAGUGCUGCAGUGAGUGUCACAGCACUUGCCGCUGUCCCCUGGCCUGA
Molecule: long non-coding RNA, 483 nt
Filed under: Anas platyrhynchos platyrhynchos (common mallard)
Lineage: Eukaryota; Metazoa; Chordata; Aves; Anseriformes; Anatidae
Description: lncRNA (ENSAPLG00000022150.1)
Source: RNAcentral